This 927-nucleotide long non-coding RNA is filed under the name Helianthus annuus (common sunflower). The record is from RNAcentral. Lineage: Eukaryota; Viridiplantae; Streptophyta; Magnoliopsida; Asterales; Asteraceae.
GCAGUUCUGGGCGGUUCUGUACGCCCCUCAUUUUCCGGCCCAUCUUUCCCACUAAACACGGUUGCUACAAAAUUGGGACGUGGGUAAACUGCAGUUGCCAACCGAUCUUAUAUAACAUAUUCGCCUCCAUACAUGAUAUCAUAUAUACACAGAAACACAAAGAUGGCACCGUUAUUCAAUCGCGAUCUCAAACCUACAUUCAAGCGUUCUUCAUUCGCGAUCUGGUUUGAUCAGAGAAAUUAGGUUAGAUCAGAGAAAUUUGAAACCGUCUGGAGCAGAAGAAACCAAAAUGGCUCUUUCCAAAGCCAAGGCAAGGCUGAAUUAGUGGUUGUGUCACUUGCUUAUUGUUAUUGCUUUUGAUAAGAAGUCGAAACAGAGAUGGAAGAAUAUGAACAAGAGCAAGAGCAAGACAUACCUAAUGAUAAUGGAUUGAAAUCAGCGGGGGACAAUAGUUUUGGGCUGGAUUUCUCUUUACCAGUAGUUAAAUGAUACCUAGCAAUCACACUCUCCGUGUAGACUUCCAUGGUCUUUUAUGAGAAUUCUGGGUUGCAAAAAGUGUAUGCCACAGUGUGGUAUUGUCAGGAAAAGCAAGUGUUGGAGCUGCUGCACUACUAAAAAGGGCGGUUAGUAAAUUUAAUUUAACCUUACGUUCAAUUCGCUUAGCAUGAUAAGCAGAAGUGGAAAAUGGACGGGUUGGGCCCUCUUGCUGAAGUGGUGCUUGAAGCACUGGAGUCAGGGGACAGUUUCUCUGGAUUUUUUUUCUUACUUAUGCUUUAAACAUUUAAAAUAACCAGAAGUUGCAUGUUCAUUGCUUUUAAGAUAUUCAAUAUUUUUUCAAAAAUUAUGUACUCGAUAUUUAAACUGUCUCUUUAUAAUUCUUUUUCAUAAAGCAUUGUGAUACUUGAUUCCAUGUUCAGCACUUGCUUC